GUGCUCACUUUGGCGGCACAUAUACUAAAAAUUGGAAUGCUACAGAGAGCAUUAGCAUGGCUCCUGCACAAGGAUGGCAUGUCAGUUCAUGAUAUAGUCCAUAUUAAA
Molecule: small nuclear RNA, 108 nt
Organism: Jaculus jaculus (lesser Egyptian jerboa)
Lineage: Eukaryota; Metazoa; Chordata; Mammalia; Rodentia; Dipodidae
Source: Ensembl